GUUCUUAUAAAUUAAUUAGACGACAAGACCCUUUUGAACUUUACUAUUGUUUAGCUGGGGUAGCUAUAAAAUAUUAAUCUUCUUAAUUUUAUUUAUAUAAAUGACCCAAUUCAAUUGAUUAUUUGAACAAGUUACCAUAGGGAUAACAGCGUAAUAUUUUUUAAAAGUUCUUAUUUAAAAAAAUGAUUGCGACCUCGAUGUUGAAUUAAUGUAACUUUAUUGAUGAAGUAAUCAUAAAAGUUGGUCUGUUCGACCAUUAAAACAUUACGUGAUCUGAG
RNAcentral lists this ribosomal RNA (278 nucleotides) under Gibbaranea occidentalis. RNAcentral's name for it is "partial 16S ribosomal RNA". It matches the Rfam family "Bacterial large subunit ribosomal RNA", at positions 2079 to 2609 of the family's 2925-position model. The record is from RNAcentral. Lineage: Eukaryota; Metazoa; Arthropoda; Arachnida; Araneae; Araneidae.